RNAcentral lists this ribosomal RNA (494 nucleotides) under uncultured bacterium. Its description in RNAcentral is "partial 16S ribosomal RNA". It matches the Rfam family "Bacterial small subunit ribosomal RNA", at positions 28 to 507 of the family's 1533-position model. The record is from RNAcentral.
GACGAACGCUGGCGGCGUGCUUAACACAUGCAAGUCGAACGGUGAAGCGCCUUCCUUUUUGGUGGGUGUGGAUGAGUGGCGAACGGGUGAGUAACACGUGAGUAACCUGCCCCCUUCUUCUGGAUAACCGCAUGAAAGUGUGGCUAAUACGGGAUAUUCUGGGUCUGUCGCAUGAUGGGUCUGGGAAAGAUAUUGUUUCGGUGGGGGAGGGGCUGGCGGCCUAUCAGCUUGUUGGUGGGGUGAUGGCCUACCAAGGCGGUGACGGGUAGCCGGCCUGAGAGGGUGGACGGUCACACUGGGACUGAGACACGGCCCAGACUCCUACGGGAGGCAGCAGUGGGGAAUAUUGCACAAUGGGCGCAAGCCUGAUGCAGCGACGCCGCGUGAGGGAUGGAGGCCUUCGGGUUGUGAACCUCUUUCGCCAGUGAAGCAGGCCUGCCUCGUUUGUGGGUGGGUUGACGGUAGCUGGAGAAGAAGCGCCGGCUAACUACGUG